CCUACGGGAGGCAGCAGUGAGGAAUAUUGGUCAAUGGGCGCGAGCCUGACCCAGCCAAGUAGCGUGAAGGAUGACUGCCCUACGGGUUGUAAACUUCUUUUAUAAAGGAAUAAAGUGAGGCACGUGUGCCUUUUUGUAUGUACUUUAUGAAUAAGGAUCGGCUAACUCCGUGCCAGCAGCCGCGGUAAUACGGAGGUUCCGAGCGUUAUCCGGAUUUAUUGGGUGUAAAGGGAGCGUAGAUGGGUUGUUAAGUCAGUAGUGAAAGUUUGCGGCUCAACCGUAAAAUUGCAAUUGAUACUGGCAGUCUUGAGUGCAGUUGAGGUAGGCGGAAUUCGUGGUGUAGCGGUGAAAUGCUUAGAUAUCACGAAGAACUCCAGUUGCGAAGGCAGCUUACUAAACUGCCACUGACAUUGAUGCUCGAAAGUGUGGGUAGCAAACAGGAUUAGAUACCCGAGUAGUC
This 460-nucleotide ribosomal RNA is filed under the name uncultured bacterium. Its description in RNAcentral is "partial 16S ribosomal RNA". It matches the Rfam family "Bacterial small subunit ribosomal RNA", at positions 338 to 795 of the family's 1533-position model. The record is from RNAcentral.